CCUACGGGUGGCAGCAGUGAGGGAUAUUGGUCAAUGGGGGAAACCCUGAACCAGCAACGCCGCGUGAGGGAAGACGGUUUUCGGAUUGUAAACCUCUGUCCUCUGUGAAGAUGAUGACGGUAGCAGAGGAGGAAGCUCCGGCUAACUACGUGCCAGCAGCCGCGGUAAUACGUAGGGAGCAAGCGUUGUCCGGAUUUACUGGGUGUAAAGGGUGCGGAGGCGGCUUUGCAAGUCAGCAGUGAAAUCCAUGGGCUUAACCCAUUAACUGUUUUUGAAACUGGAGAGCUUGAGUGGAGUAGAGGUAGGCGGAAUUUCUGGUGUAGGGGUGAAAUGCGUAGAGAUCGGGAGGAACACCAGUGGCGAAGGCGGGCUGCUGGGCCCUAACUGACGCUGAGGCACGAAAGCGUAGGUAGCAAACAGGAUUAGAUACCCGAGUAGUC
This 440-nucleotide ribosomal RNA is filed under the name uncultured bacterium. Its description in RNAcentral is "partial 16S ribosomal RNA". It matches the Rfam family "Bacterial small subunit ribosomal RNA", at positions 338 to 795 of the family's 1533-position model. The record is from RNAcentral.